UUAGAGUUUCUUUCUGGCUCAGGAUGAACGCUAGCGGCAGGCUUAACACAUGCAAGUCGAGGGGCAGCGAGAUCAGUGCUUGCACUGAUUGUCGGCGACCGGCGCACGGGUGCGUAACGCGUAUGCAACCUACCCAUUACAGGGGGAUAACACUGAGAAAUCGGUACUAAUACCCCAUAACAUCCAGGGAGGCAUCUUCUUGGGUUGAAAACUCCGGUGGUAAUGGAUGGGCAUGCGUUGUAUUAGUUAGUUGGUGGGGUAACGGCUCACCAAGACAACGAUACAUAGGGGGACUGAGAGGUUAACCCCCCACAUUGGUACUGAGACACGGACCAAACUCCUACGGGAGGCAGCAGUGAGGAAUAUUGGUCAAUGGACGCAAGUCUGAACCAGCCAUGCCGCGUGCAGGAAGACGGCUCUAUGAGUUGUAAACUGCUUUUGUACGAGGGUAAACGCAGAUACGCGUAUCUGUCUGAAAGUAUCGUACGAAUAAGGAUCGGCUAACUCCGUGCCAGCAGCCGCGGUAAUACGGAGGAUUCAAGCGUUAUCCGGAUUUAUUGGGUUUAAAGGGUGCGUAGGCGGUCGGAUAAGUUAGAGGUGAAAUCCCGGGGCUCAACUUCGGAAUUGCCUCUGAUACUGUUCGGCUAGAGAGUAGUUGCGGUAGGCGGAAUGUAUGGUGUAGCGGUGAAAUGCUUAGAGAUCAUACAGAACACCGAUCGCGAAGGCAGCUUACCAAGCUACUUCUGACGUUGAGGCACGAAAGCGUGGGGAGCAAACAGGAUUAGAUACCCUGGUAGUCCACGCAGUAAACGAUGAUAACUCGUUGUCGGCGAUACAGUGUCGGUGACUAAGCGAAAGCGAUAAGUUAUCCACCUGGGGAGUACGUUCGCAAGAAUGAAACUCAAAGGAAUUGACGGGGGCCCGCACAAGCGGAGGAACAUGUGGUUUAAUUCGAUGAUACGCGAGGAACCUUACCCGGGCUUGAAAGUUAGUGACGGAUCUUGAAAGAGGUCUUCCCUUCGGGGCACGAAACUAGGUGCUGCAUGGUUGUCGUCAGCUCGUGCCGUGAGGUGUCGGGUUAAGUCCCAUAACGAGCGCAACCCCUACCGUUAGUUGCCAGCAGGUCAAGCUGGGCACUCUGACGGGACUGCCGGUGUAAGCCGAGAGGAAGGUGGGGAUGACGUCAAAUCAGCACGGCCCUUACGUCCGGGGCUACACACGUGUUACAAUGGCAGGUACAGAGGGCAGCUACCCAGCGAUGGGAUGCGAAUCUCGAAAGCCUGUCUCAGUUCGGAUUGGAGGCUGAAACCCGCCUCCAUGAAGUUGGAUUCGCUAGUAAUCGCGCAUCAGCCAUGGCGCGGUGAAUACGUUCCCGGGCCUUGCACUCACCGCCCGUCA
This 1398-nucleotide ribosomal RNA is filed under the name uncultured bacterium. RNAcentral's name for it is "16S ribosomal RNA". It matches the Rfam family "Bacterial small subunit ribosomal RNA". The record is from RNAcentral.